RNAcentral lists this ribosomal RNA (320 nucleotides) under uncultured eukaryote. RNAcentral describes it as "partial 18S ribosomal RNA". It matches the Rfam family "Eukaryotic small subunit ribosomal RNA", at positions 1470 to 1796 of the family's 1831-position model. The record is from RNAcentral.
CCCUUAGAUGUUCUGGGCUGCACGCGCGCUACACUGACGCACGCAACAGGUGCCUGCUCCGAGAGGACUGGGUAAUCAUUUGAGUGUGCGUCGUGAUGGGGAUAGAAUAUUGUAAUUAUUACUCUUCAACGAGGAAUUCCUAGUAAGCGCCAGUCAGCAGCUUGCGCUGAUUACGUCCCUGCCCUUUGUACACACCGCCCGUCGCUCCUACCGAUGGGUGAUCCGGUGAAUGAUUCGGACUGCAGCAGUGUUCAGUUCCUGAACGUUGCAGCGGAAAGUUUAGUGAACCUUAUCACUUAGAGGAAGGAGAAGUCGUAACA